This 253-nucleotide ribosomal RNA is filed under the name uncultured bacterium. RNAcentral's name for it is "partial 16S ribosomal RNA". It matches the Rfam family "Bacterial small subunit ribosomal RNA", at positions 524 to 776 of the family's 1533-position model. The record is from RNAcentral.
UACGAAGGGGGCUAGCGUUGCUCGGAAUCACUGGGUUUAAAGGGUGCGUAGGAGGGCAGGUAAGUCAGUGGUGAAAUCUUCGAGCUUAACUCGGAAACUGCCGUUGAUACUAUCUGUCUUGAAUACCGUGGAGGUGAGCGGAAUAUGUCAUGUAGCGGUGAAAUGCUUAGAUAUGACAUAGAACACCAAUUGCGAAGGCAGCUCGCUACACGAAUAUUGACUCUGAGGCACGAAAGCGUGGGGAUCAAACAGG